AGACGUCUACAUUAGAUACCCGUGUAGUCCCAGCCGUAAACUAUGCGCGUUAGGUGUAUCGGUGACCACGGAGUCACCGAGGUGCCGAAGGGAAACCGUGAAACGUGCCGCCUGGGAAGUACGGUCGCAAGGCUGAAACUUAAAGGAAUUGGCGGGGAGCACCACAACGGGUGGAGCCUGCGGUUUAAUUGGACUCAACGCCGGGAAGCUCACCGGAUAAGACAGCGGAAUGAUUGCCGGGCUGAAGACUCUGCAUGACUAGCUG
RNAcentral lists this ribosomal RNA (265 nucleotides) under uncultured archaeon. Its description in RNAcentral is "partial 16S ribosomal RNA". It matches the Rfam family "Archaeal small subunit ribosomal RNA", at positions 717 to 982 of the family's 1478-position model. The record is from RNAcentral.